Molecule: long non-coding RNA, 357 nt
Organism: Capsella rubella
Lineage: Eukaryota; Viridiplantae; Streptophyta; Magnoliopsida; Brassicales; Brassicaceae
Exons: 4
Source: RefSeq, a predicted model, not a curated record
AGAAGACGGCUCCGUGUGGUCGGCUAAAUCAUUUGGUGCUUCUGGAACCCGUGUUGCUAAAUUGGUAUUUAAUACCUCUUUGACAGGGUAUCAAUAAAUUCUGACUGAUCCUAGAUACGCUGGCCAAUUUGAGCUAAUGACAAAUCCUCAGAUCGGUAGCACUGGUGUGAAUCCAGAUGAUGAAGAAUCAAGGCAAUGUCUUUAGGCUGGUUUAGUAACAAGAAGUCUAAGCAUCAGUACCUCAAACUAUAGAGAUGUACGAAAACACUUGGUGACUAUCUAGCAGAGAGGAACAUUAUGGGAAUCUGUAAAUUUGUUUGGUUAUUGAUACUAAUUUAGAUUUCAAGAUAUUAUACA